Molecule: unclassified non-coding RNA, 1308 nt
Filed under: Hevea brasiliensis (rubber tree)
Lineage: Eukaryota; Viridiplantae; Streptophyta; Magnoliopsida; Malpighiales; Euphorbiaceae
Source: RNAcentral
UUUUGUAGACUGAGUUAUGGCAUUUUUGCCAUAAUUGGUUGGGUGUCCUGAAAUUCAGGAUUUCCAGGUCAGGUUUGGUCCAGGCAGUUUUGUUGGACUAAGUUUGCCUAGCAAUUUGGUUGAGUUAGGAUCAAAACUAGGUCUCCUGAUCUUCAUGAAAAAUGUUCUCCUAUGUUUCAGGUUUCUAUGGGUUCAAGAAUUAGGUCAUUUGGAGCUUCAUAGAGUAAGUUAUACCUAAAUUACUAAACACUGUUCACUGUUCAUAUGGUCAUUCUGUCCAGGUCCAGAAUGCCACAUCUGAAUUCAAGCCAAAUUUAGGGCAAGCUAUGGUUAGUUUUUGGGUGGGAUUUCUUCAUACCAUUUUUAGCAUUAUGUCUAGGGUUUACUCUCCAAUUGGCCUCACAUCAAUUGGAGCUAUGUAGCUUUACUUAUGGCCACAAAAACACACUGGACUUAAGGUCCAGAAUUCCAGCAUACAAGCAACACUUCCAAUUUUUCAGUUCAAUCAACAACCAACUUCAAUUUGCGACCAACACACAUCAAUUGGUCAAUACAUGAACUCAAAUAGUUCAAUUGUGUAACAUAUCAUAAAAUCCCCAAAUUUCCUUUGAACCCUAACCUCCACAAUUCACAUCUCAUGCAAAUCCAUACAACUUCAACUAUAAUUCAUGUAAACAAAUCCAUUUACACUAGAGAAUAUAUUUAUUAUCAUCAAAUCAUCAAAAUCCCCCAUACUCCCAUAGCUGGCCGAAUUCCCAUGCUUUCAUACAUACCUCAAUUCCAUUAAUUUUCAUGCAAUCUCAUCAUAAUUCAACUUAAUUUUUAUUAAAGAAGAAGAAGGUAAAUCUCCCUCUUGCUAAAACUUCACUUUCUCUUCUCCUUUUUGGUACCAAUCACUCUAGUAAGGUGAAAUAUCAAGUUCUAGUAUUGGAAAAUUUGGAAAAUAUGGUGAAAAUUAAAUGGAAAUUGGAGCUUGCAAGAUUGAAAAUGGUGGAAGGAAGGUUAUGGAGGAGUUCGGCCAAGGUGGUUUUGGAGGAAGAAGAAGACCAAAUUUCAAUUAAUGAAAUUUUGUCUUAUGCUCACAUAUUUAUCUUCUUAAAAUUUAAUUAAGUUUUUAAUGAGAUCACCUUUUAGUCAUGCUUAGGUUAUAAUUAGAAUUAAAUUUUCAUUAAUUCCCUUCCAUGUCCUAAUUCAUUUUCUCUAUACAUUUCAUAAAUUUUAAUUCAUUUUCAAUAUCUUGUUCUCACUCAUUUUAAUUGACAUUUAGAUCAAAAUUCAACUCUGUGGGUGAAAUGACCAAAAUGCCCU